AGGGUUUGAUCAUGGCUCAGAACGUACGCUGGCGGCACGCCUAACACAUGCAAGUCGAACGAAGUAGCAAUACUUAGUGGCAGACGGGUGAGUAACAUGUAGGUAUCUGCCCUUUGGCCUGGAAUAACACGAGGAAACUUGUGCUAAUACCGGAUAAGUCUUUACGGAGAAAGCUUUAUGCACCAUUGGAUGAGCCUGCACUUGAUUAGUUUGUUGGUGGGGUAAUGGCCUACCAAGACUGUGAUCAAUAGCUGAUUUGAGAGGAUGAUCAGCCACAUUGGGACUGAGACACGGCCCAAACUCCUACGGGAGGCAGCAGUGGGGAAUCUUGCACAAUGGAGGAAACUCUGAUGCAGCGAUGCCGCGUGAGUGAAGAAGGCCUUUGGGUUGUAAAGCUCUUUCGUCGGGGAAGAAAAUGACUGUACCCGAAUAAGAAGGUCCGGCUAACUUCGUGCCAGCAGCCGCGGUAAUACGAAGGGACCUAGCGUAGUUCGGAAUUACUGGGCUUAAAGAGUUCGUAGGUGGUUGAAAAAGUUGGUGGUGAAAUCCCAGAGCUUAACUCUGGAACUGCCAUCAAAACUUUUCAGCUAGAGUAUGAUAGAGGAAAGCAGAAUUUCUAGUGUAGAGGUGAAAUUCGUAGAUAUUAGAAAGAAUACCAAUUGCGAAGGCAGCUUUCUGGAUCAUUACUGACACUGAGGAACGAAAGCAUGGGUAGCGAAGAGGAUUAGAUACCCUCGUAGUCCAUGCCGUAAACGAUGUGUGUUAGACGUUGGAAAUUUAUUUUCAGUGUCGCAGCGAAAGCGAUAAACACACCGCCUGGGGAGUACGACCGCAAGGUUAAAACUCAAAUGAAUUGACGGGGACCCGCACAAGUAGUGGAGCAUGUGGUUUAAUUCGAAGAUACGCGCAGAACCUUACCAACACUUGACAUGUUCGUCGCGACUUUAAGAGAUUAAAGUUUUCGGUUCGGCCGGACGAAACACAGGUGCUGCAUGGCUGUCGUCAGCUCGUGUCGUGAGAUGUUGGGUUAAGUCCCGCAACGAGCGCAACCCUCACUUUUAGUUGCCAUCAUUAAGUUGGGCACUCUGAAAGAACUGCCAGUGAUAAGCUGGAGGAAGGUGGGGAUGACGUCAAGUCCUCAUGGCCCUUACGUGUUGGGCUACACACGUGCUACAAUGGUAUCUACAACAGGAAGCAAAACGGCGACGUUAAGCAAAUCCUUAAAAGAUACCUCAGUUCGGAUUGCACUCUGCAACUCGAGUGCAUGAAGCUGGAAUUACUAGUAAUCGUGGAUCAGCGUGCCACGGUGAAUGCGUUCCCGGGUCUUGUACACACCGCCCGUCACACCAUGGGAGUUGGUUCUACCUUAAGGCAAGGUUUAAAACCCUUGACCACGGUAUAGUCAGCGACUGGGGUGAAGUCAUAACAAGGUAACCGUA
This 1439-nucleotide ribosomal RNA is filed under the name uncultured bacterium. RNAcentral's name for it is "bacterial SSU rRNA". It matches the Rfam family "Bacterial small subunit ribosomal RNA". The record is from RNAcentral.